RNAcentral lists this unclassified non-coding RNA (240 nucleotides) under soil metagenome. RNAcentral's name for it is "partial contains 5.8S ribosomal RNA, internal transcribed spacer 2, and large subunit ribosomal RNA". The record is from RNAcentral.
AACACUGUUAACCUGCGGUACCUGCGGAGGGAUCAUUACACAAAUGAAAAUAUGAAGGCCCUUCAAACCGGCUGGAUUAUUUUUCUUCACCCUUGUCUUUUGCGCACUUGUUGUUUCCUGGGCGGGUUCGCUCGCCACCAGGACCACACCAUAAACCUUUUUGUUAAUGCAAUCAGCGUCAGUAAAAAGUAAUAAUUAUUUUACAACUUUUAACAACGGAUCUCAGAUCGGAAGAGCACA